Molecule: ribosomal RNA, 497 nt
Filed under: uncultured bacterium
Lineage: Bacteria
Description: partial 16S ribosomal RNA
Rfam family: Bacterial small subunit ribosomal RNA
Source: RNAcentral
GACGAACGCUGGCGGCGUGCCUAAUACAUGCAAGUUGAGCGCUGAAGGUUGGUACUUGUACCGACUGGAUGAGCAGCGAACGGGUGAGUAACGCGUGGGGAAUCUGCCUUUGAGCGGGGGACAACAUUUGGAAACGAAUGCUAAUACCGCAUAAAAACUUUAAACACAAGUUUUAAGUUUGAAAGAUGCAAUUGCAUCACUCAAAGAUGAUCCCGCGUUGUAUUAGCUAGUUGGUGAGGUAAAGGCUCACCAAGGCGAUGAUACAUAGCCGACCUGAGAGGGUGGUCGGCCACAUUGGGACUGGGACACGGCCCAAACUCCUACGGGAGGCAGCAGUAGGGAAUCUUCGGCGAUGGACGAAAGUCUGACCGAGCAACGCCGCGUGAGUGAAGAAGGUUUUCGGAUCGUAAAACUCUGUUGGUAGAGAAGAACGUUGGUGAGGGUGGAAAGCUCAUCAAGUGACGGUAACUACCCAGAAAGGGACGGCUAACUACGUG